Molecule: ribosomal RNA, 1116 nt
Filed under: Ligilactobacillus ruminis
Lineage: Bacteria; Bacillati; Bacillota; Bacilli; Lactobacillales; Lactobacillaceae
Description: bacterial SSU rRNA
Rfam family: Bacterial small subunit ribosomal RNA
Source: RNAcentral
GGCGGCUGCUAUACUGCAAGUCGAACGAAGCUUUCUUUCACCGAAUGCUUGCAUUCACCGAAAGAAGCUUAGUGGCGAACGGGUGAGUAACACGUAGGCAACCUGCCCAAAAGAGGGGGAUAACACUUGGAAACAGGUGCUAAUACCGCAUAACCAUGAACACCGCAUGAUGUUCAUGUAAAAGACGGCUUUUGCUGUCACUUUUGGAUGGGCCUGCGGCGUAUUAACUUGUUGGUGGGGUAACGGCCUACCAAGGUGAUGAUACGUAGCCGAACUGAGAGGUUGAUCGGCCACAUUGGGACUGAGACACGGCCCAAACUCCUACGGGAGGCAGCAGUAGGGAAUCUUCCACAAUGGACGAAAGUCUGAUGGAGCAACGCCGCGUGAAUGAAGAAGGCCUUCGGGUCGUAAAAUUCUGUUGUCAGAGAAGAACGUGCGUGAGAGUAACUGUUCACGUAUUGACGGUAUCUGACCAGAAAGCCACGGCUAACUACGUGCCAGCAGCCGCGGUAAUACGUAGGUGGCGAGCGUUGUCCGGAUUUAUUGGGCGUAAAGGGAACGCAGGCGGUCUUUUAAGUCUGAUGUGAAAGCCUUCGGCUUAACCGAAGUAGUGCAUUGGAAACUGGAAGACUUGAGUGCAGAAGAGGAGAGUGGAACUCCAUGUGUAGCGGUGAAAUGCGUAGAUAUAUGGAAGAACACCAGUGGCGAAAGCGGCUCUCUGGUCUGUAACUGACGCUGAGGUUCGAAAGCGUGGGUAGCAAACAGGAUUAGAUACCCUGGUAGUCCACGCCGUAAACGAUGAGUGCUAAGUGUUGGAGGGUUUCCGCCCUUCAGUGCUGCAGCUAACGCAUUAAGCACUCCGCCUGGGGAGUACGGUCGCAAGACUGAAACUCAAAGGAAUUGACGGGGGCCCGCACAAGCGGUGGAGCAUGUGGUUUAAUUCGAAGCAACGCGAAGAAACCUUACCAGGUCUUGACAUCUUCUGACAAUUUCCAGAGAUGGAAACGUUUCCCUUUCGGGGACAGGAAUGACAGUGAUGCAUGAUGUCGUCAGCUCGUGUCGUGAGAUGUUGGCUAGUCCCGGCAACGAGCGCAUCCAUAAUUGUCAGCUGACCAU